UGCAGGUUACCCGCGACAGGACGGAAAGACCCCGAGGAGCUAUACUGUAGCCUGAUAAAGAAAUUCGGCACAGAUUGUACAGAAUAGGAAGGAGCCUUAGAAACGUGAGCGCUAGCUUAAGUGGAGCCGCUGGUGGGAUACUACCCUAGCUGUGUUGGCUUUCUAUCCCGCUCCACUUAUCGUGUUGUGAGACAGUGUCAGGCGGGCAGUUUGACUGGGGCGGUCGCCUCCUAAAAGGUAACUGAGGCGCUCAAAGGUUCCCUCAGAAUGGUUGGAAAUCAUUCAAAGAGUGUAAAGGCAUAAGUGAGCUUGACUUCGAGACCUACAAGUCGAGCAGGGUCGAAAGAC
Molecule: ribosomal RNA, 348 nt
Filed under: Staphylococcus aureus
Lineage: Bacteria; Bacillati; Bacillota; Bacilli; Caryophanales; Staphylococcaceae
Description: partial 23S ribosomal RNA
Rfam family: Bacterial large subunit ribosomal RNA
Source: RNAcentral